AAAUAUGGUCUUGGGUUAAAAGAUGUUUUCUUCUCUUCUGAAUCUUUUUGUAUAAAUCUCACAGUAACAGCCAAAAUCUUUGACAACAGAAAGAAUCUACUUGAUCCCUGCUCCACCUUUAGGAUUGAAAAAACAAGUUUUGAAUAUAUAUCAAUGGCUAGGAAGGACAAAUUCUGCCCUUGCUGAGUUGAUUGCAGGGCACUAGAAUUAAUCACCUCAGAAGAUAAGCAAUGUGCAACAGAGACUUCCGUAAGAAUUUGGAAAAAGUGAUCUGUCAUGUCAUCCCCCUUCAAUAGUCCAUUUUGAUGCAAUUGUAAGAUAAAAUGAGUACAAGCAGCAUCAUUUGCACCUGGAAGUUCGCAAAUCCGGUACCAUUCCACAAACAGCAUGGAAACCUUCUCACGCAAAUCAGCAGGAUCUGGUUCCACAGAUUCAGCAUUGCUAUAGUCUUCCCUGUUAGCAAUAGGCUCAUUCACAGCCUUUUUAUCUCUAUAUUGUCUAGUCUUAUCCUCUUUUCCCACAGUAAAACCAG
Molecule: unclassified non-coding RNA, 532 nt
Filed under: Hevea brasiliensis (rubber tree)
Lineage: Eukaryota; Viridiplantae; Streptophyta; Magnoliopsida; Malpighiales; Euphorbiaceae
Source: RNAcentral